GUUUGAGGGUAUCUUCGUGAAGCUACAGUGCAACGUGAGGGUGACUUCAUGACAGCUUGGACAUGAGCUGACGUACCUGGGGCUGCCCUGACGUUCCCACUGCACAGAUGAUGGUUCUGGAGGUGAAGUGGGCAGCCUGUGAAAAGCAAAUGUCUCUGAUGAACGCACACGAACCAGCUGUGCACAUAUAGGCGACCUUUUGGUACGUCUUCAGAAAAAGUGUGCCCGUGCUUGCCCUGUUUGUCUCAUUUUGCAGAAUGAUUCAUCCUCAGGGGCGUGGGGGAAGGACGUAGGGGGUUCCGUGUGAAGAUGCUGCGUUAGCCAUAGCUUUAGCGUGGUCGUGACUAAUGGAAAUGGAUACUGCUCUGCGCAGGUCGCUGCUCUGGAGACCAGCCUGAACUCACGUGGCUGUGUAAAAUCAAGUCCCUCUUGAUUUUGGGCAUCUGGUGGGACUGUGGCCUUGUGAAAGGUGUUGAUUACGCUUUGGACAAUUAUGACAUCUGAAUUGUAUUCACGUUAUCGCCACUGAUUUAGCAGGAAACUGUCAGGAAGGCAGUGAUGAACUCUGGUAGAGAGCUGCAGGUGGUGUGGCCAAAUAACUGUUUCCCUGUGAUUGAUGUUAAGGAAAAGAGAUGUUCCAAGAGCAACACUAAUGGCAGUAGCUUUUGCAUGUGUUUAAAGCCUAACUCAAAAUCCAUGAAGUCCUUGGAAAGCCUUUUUCUGCUUCACCAGGCUUAGGACACGCUCACAGGCCCCGAGAAAAUACAUGACAUGGACACGGCGCUUUGACUGAGCGUGAACCCAGCCGUGAGCUGGCAGAUUUCCUGGCUUAACAAGGCCAAGUCCCUUGCAAACAGCUCAGGCAACCUCAUAAAAAUCAGAGCUGCCAUCUCUGGGUUGGGGGAAGUCUCUCAUAAUUGUGAUUAUAGCCUUCUGUCUGAGCCACUUAACGUGACUGACGUGCUGAAGCUCCGUAACAUUGCACUUGUAUUUAUUUGUUGCCCUCGUCUCUAGAGCAGCGGGAUGUAAAGGUGUCUUACAGGAACGCAAGCCCAGGAAGGGCACUCCCUGGAAUGUUUCUGAAAGCUUCCAGAAAUAGAGAGCAAGUCUGACGAGCUUGGAUCGAAAAGUGCAAAAUUCCAUGCCCAGAAGCUCACACCUCUUGGUAGAGGCAAGGGAAGCUUACGCUCGUAGCUGUUUCAGCUCGCGCUGAUGUCAACGGGAAGCCCUUUGCUCGAGUCCUCCAUCAGCAACGUUCUGAGCCCGGAGAGAAGCGGGAUUUAAGGGACUUAGGGAGAAGGUGACACCUUUCGCCCCGUUUAGCAGCAGGUUGAUCCGCAGCAUUUUCCCCGCUGAAGGCGUUACGACCCAUCAGCAGAGGUAACGGUGCCAGCAGCAAGCGGUCCGGUGCUGGCAUCUGCAGCUCCGGCCUCUUCACAGGCUGAGCAGUGACCGCUCGAGUGGUGAAAUACAUUAAGAAAAACGACGUUUAUUUAUUUAUUUUUAUUUUUGGGGAAGACAGCAAAGUAUGGCAGCAGUACCGCUGGGGUGCUGGAGGCGGGCCAGCUGCACGUAUUUGGUGAGAGAAGAAAAGCAACCAUCCGUCUCCAAGAGGAUGUAAGCACGGAGCUUUUAACUUUCUGUCUUAGCCUCUCCUGCGGCAGAAAGGAAGCCUUGUGUGUUGGGCUAUUCUGCUCCGCUGUUAAAAGCUACUGUAAUUCAGGCUGUGUUGAAAAGGAGCAAUUUUAGGGAUAGAUUUUUUUUUUUUCUUUUACUGUAUUUUUCCAGAAGAUGACUUUCACAUAGGUCCCCUCUGACUCACGAGGGGAGAAAUCAUUUGGAAGGAAAUAAAUCUCUGUUGAUGGCUACUCAGAAAAGCAGCCAAUGAGUACGGGUGACCUAAUGUUAAUAAAUGCCAUGGAUGAUGCACUGAAUAAUCUGCUAUUUGUUUGUGUUAUGCUAUUAGGAAGCUGAAAUUUAUUAGGCUUCCAAGAACCACAGGCACAUUUACAUUUUCGGUGUGUGUUGCUGUGUAACAUUGACUGGCCCGUCAGUUCAAGGAGGGCAGUACGCUCCAGCUGCACACCGUGAUGGUGGUAGGGCCUUCCCCUAACCCUCAGGUGGACUGGAAAUCUACUGCAUGCAAAAUGAGCCUCGCACCCCUUCAGCAGAGCAGGAAUUGGCCUCGGAGCCCCUGCUGGCACUACCAACGGGGAGAACUCCUGCCUGAAGGAUGCCCCAGUGGCUGGAGUCACUGCUACACGUCAUGUCGGAGCUGGCAUGGACUUGUGUGCCCCAAGAGAGGACCUGACCCUUCAGUUCGUAUUGCAGCUUGGUUAUUUCUUACCCUCGGUGUGCUGGCUGGGGAUGGGGAACCUCUUCCAGCCUGAGUUAGGUUAGGUGCAGCUGGUCUCCUACCGCAGCAGAGCGGAGGCAGAGCGAAGUCCUGUGUCUUGUGCCUGCUGCUUCUCCCAUCCAUCACCUCUGCCCUGGGGCCUUUCCCC
This is a long non-coding RNA of Oxyura jamaicensis (ruddy duck), 2504 nucleotides long. RefSeq lists it as uncharacterized. NCBI's taxonomy places the organism in Eukaryota, Metazoa, Chordata, Aves, Anseriformes, Anatidae. The record is from RefSeq and is a predicted model, not a curated record. The transcript is spliced from 2 exons.